This 443-nucleotide ribosomal RNA is filed under the name uncultured bacterium. RNAcentral describes it as "partial 16S ribosomal RNA". It matches the Rfam family "Bacterial small subunit ribosomal RNA", at positions 338 to 795 of the family's 1533-position model. The record is from RNAcentral.
CCUACGGGAGGCAGCAGUGGGGAAUAUUGGUCAAUGGGCGCAAGCCUGACCCAGCCACGCCGCGUGAAGGAAGAAGGCUUUCGGGUUGUAAACUUCUUUUAUCAGGGACGAAACAAGUGACGGUACCUGCUGAAUAAGCCACGGCUAACUACGUGCCAGCAGCCGCGGUAAUCCGUAGGUGGCAAGCGUUAUCCGGAUUUACUGGUUGUACAGGGCGUGUAGGCGGGAGUGCAAGUCAGAUGUGAAAACUAUGGGCUCAACCCAUAGACUGCAUUUGAAACUGUACUUCUUGAGUGCUGGAGAGGCAAUCGGAAUGCGGGGUGUAGCGGUGAAAUGCAUAGAUAUCCGGAGGAACACCAGUGGCGAAGGCAGAUUGCUGGACAGUAACUGACGCUGAGGCGCGAAAGCGUGGGGAGCAAACAGGAUUAGAUACCCUAGUAGUC